UAUUCCCCACUGCUGCCUCCCGUAGGAGUCUGGGCCGUGUCUCAGUCCCAAUGUGGCCGUCCGCCCUCUCAGGCCGGCUACUGAUCGUCGCUUCGGUGGGCCGUUACCCCGCCGACUGGCUAAUCAGAUGCGGAUCCAUUCCAUCCCGAUAAAUCUUUUCACACCGCAGGAUGCCCUGCUGUGCGCUUAUGCGGUAUUACCAGCCGUUUCCAGCUGCUAUCCCCCUGGAUGGACCAGGUUAUCCACACGUUACUCACCCGUCCGCCACUAAGUAUAUACAAGAUUCUCUCUAUGCAAGCACUUCGAUCAUCAGCGCAUAUACUCCGUUCGACUUGCAUGUGUUAGGCACGCCGCCAGCGUUCAUCCUGAGCCAA
This 374-nucleotide ribosomal RNA is filed under the name uncultured rumen bacterium. Its description in RNAcentral is "partial 16S ribosomal RNA". The record is from RNAcentral.